AGAGUUUGAUCCUGGCUCAGGACGAACGCUGGCGGCGCGCCUAACACAUGCAAGUCGAACGGAGCUUAGAGAGCUUGCUUUUUAAGCUUAGUGGCGAACGGGUGAGUAACGCGUGAGUAACCUGCCCUAGAGUGGGGGACAACAGUUGGAAACGACUGCUAAUACCGCAUAAGCCCACGGUACCGCAUGGUACUGGGGGAAAAGGAUUUAUUCGCUUUAGGUUGGACUCGCGUCCAAUUAGCUAGUUGGUGAGGUAACGGCCCACCAAGGCGACGAUUGGUAGCCGGACUGAGAGGUUGAACGGCCGCAUUGGGACUGAGACACGGCCCAGACUCCUACGGGAGGCAGCAGUGGGGGAUAUUGCACAAUGGGGGAAACCCUGAUGCAGCGACGCCGCGUGGAGGAAGAAGGUUUUCGGAUUGUAAACUCCUGUCGUUAGGGACGAUAAUGACGGUACCUAACAAGAAAGCACCGGCUAACUACGUGCCAGCAGCCGCGGUAAAACGUAGGGUGCAAGCGUUGUCCGGAAUUACUGGGUGUAAAGGGAGCGCAGGCGGGAAGACAAGUUGGAAGUGAAAACCAUGGGCUCAACCCAUGAAUUGCUUUCAAAACUGUUUUUCUUGAGUAGUGCAGAGGUAGAUGGAAUUCCCGGUGUAGCGGUGGAAUGCGUAGAUAUCGGGAGGAACACCAGUGGCGAAGGCGGUCUACUGGGCACCAACUGACGCUGAGGCUCGAAAGCAUGGGUAGCAAACAGGAUUAGAUACCCUGGUAGUCCAUGCCGUAAACGAUGAUUACUAGGUGUUGGGGGAUUGACCCCCUCAGUGCCGCAGUUAACACAAUAAGUAAUCCACCUGGGGAGUACGACCGCAAGGUUGAAACUCAAAGGAAUUGACGGGGGCCCGCACAAGCAGUGGAGUAUGUGGUUUAAUUCGAAGCAACGCGAAGAACCUUACCAGGUCUUGACAUCCGAUGCAUAGCACAGAGAUGUGUGAAAUCCUUCGGGACAUCGAGACAGGAGGUGCAUGGUUGUCGUCAGCUCGUGUCGUGAGAUGUUGGGUUAAGUCCCGCAACGAGCGCAACCCUUAUUGCCAGUUACUACGUUAAGAGGACUCUGGCGAGACUGCCGUUGACAAAACGGAGGAAGGGGGGGAUGACGUCAAAUCAUCAUGCCCUUUAUGACCUGGGCUACACACGUACUACAAUGGCGUU
RNAcentral lists this ribosomal RNA (1209 nucleotides) under metagenome. RNAcentral's name for it is "bacterial SSU rRNA". It matches the Rfam family "Bacterial small subunit ribosomal RNA", at positions 8 to 1237 of the family's 1533-position model. The record is from RNAcentral.